This 3056-nucleotide unclassified non-coding RNA is filed under the name Hevea brasiliensis (rubber tree). Lineage: Eukaryota; Viridiplantae; Streptophyta; Magnoliopsida; Malpighiales; Euphorbiaceae. The record is from RNAcentral.
AGGGAACAAUGGUAGGCCGCCGUUCUACGCGCACGCACCCUCUUUUCUCCCCUUCCUAAACCCUGAUCAUUUUAUCGGUCACCUGCUUCUCUCCCUGCACUCUCGCCGAGUUCACUCGUGAAGCCGAAUCAACCUUGUGACUCUUAACUGGAGUGAUUCAAAGCUAUGCAAGUCCUCUCAAACGCGCGUCGACUGGCUAGGGUUUUGAAGCCGCUGGUUCUCCUUAGGUCGGCUGCGAAUCAUAAGUUGCUCCCAUACGAUAUUCAAAUCGCGUUUUCUCCUCCCACUCCUCAUCAAUGGCAAAAUUACAACUCUUUUUCUUCCCAGGCCCUCUACUUCUCUGGCACUUCUUUGCUAAUGGCGCAACAACAAAUUAACUCAUGGGCUGCAAAAGCAUCAUUUUCUACUGAAGCUACUAGUGCUGAGAGAACCCCAACAGAGGCUGUGAAGGAGCUUUAUGAUAAAAUUCUUGAAUCUGUGAAUGUUAGACGGACGAUGGCUCCAAAUGCUUGGUUGUGGUCUUUGAUAGAAAACUGUAAAAACCAUGAGGAUAUUAAGCUUCUCUUUGACAGUUUGCAGAAUCUCCGGAGAUUUCGGCUUUCGAAUCUUCGUAUACAUGAUAAUUUUAAUUGCCAUCUUUGCCGUGAAGUUACUAAAGCAUGUGCUCGAGUUGGGGCCAUUGACUUUGGUAUGUAUACUUGGGAAUUCUUUUCAUUUUGAAACCACAUUCCGUCAUUCAUUCUUCCUUAUUUAAUUGGUUUCAUAUAUACUAUCAAGAACCAUGUGGAGAAAAAAAAAUAUAUACUGGUGCUGCAUUUGAAUAUUUGCAGUUUUGCACUUGGAAAGCUAUUUAAUAAAGUAGUGCGUAGCAUGUAAUUACAUGACCAUAAGUUGCAAUAAAUGCAGGGAAAAUGGCCUUGUGGAAGCAUAAUGUAUAUGGAUUGAGUCCUAACAUAGGCUCUGCCAACCAUUUGCUGUCAUAUGCUAAGGAACACAAUGAUGUAAGUUUCAUGGUUGAAGUGAUGAAACUGUUGAAAAAGAAUCACAUCCCAUUACAACCUAGUACAGCAGACAUUGUUUUCGGGUAAAAUGACCUAGAUUUUGGAUAUGAUAUCUCGACAUAUUAUUUAAUAUGAAAAACUGUUGUUUGGUUGAAUGCAUUACUGGAUGCAAAUCCUGCUUUCUCCUUUUGAAGUCCUAGAUUCCAUGAUUUGGAAACAUAACAAGUGGUCUUUGAUGUUUUCUGAUCACAAAAAAUAUGGAUUUUUCUCAACUAAAAUAUCUUCUUGUCAAAAAGACUACCAUAUGCUUUGGUUGAAAGCUCAGUUUAGCCCUUCAACUUUUACUCAAAAGUCAAAAUGGCCCUCAUAUUUCAAUUUGACUCGAUAAGACCCUUGUACAUUUCUAGAAUAAGCAAUGAAGCUCCAUUUCCGUUAAGUUAGAAUACAUGAGGCACAUGAAACGGAGGAAUGUUAGUACGAUAUUAUGUUUGUUGUCUAAAAUACACAUUAAAGGUGCAAAAACAAAAAAAGCUCCCCAAAUUCUAAAUAUGGGAAUUUUUGUUUUCUGCACAUUUUGCAUGUAUUUUAGACAACAGAUGUCAUAUCAGACAAAUAUCCAUCUAUUUCACGUGUCUGUAUGUUCCUUUAUUUAGAGGAAAUGGGGCUUAUUGCUCAAUCUUAAAUUCUCUGAGGACCUAAUUGAGCCAAAUUGAAACAUGAGGGUCUAAUUGACUUUUGAAGUAAAGUUAGAAGGCUGAUUUGGGUAUUUAGCCCAUUGCUUUAGAACUGAUUUAACUAUGAGCAUGAUAUUGGACUUAACAUUUGCAGUAUUUGUUACAAUGCCGGCAAUUGGGAGUUGAUCUCGAAGUAUUCAAAAAAGUUUCUCAAGGCUGGCGUAAAACUACGAAAAACUGCAUUUGACAUAUGGAUGGAUUUUGCUAUCAAAAGAGGUCCCUCUGAAUUCCCAAUUCUCUUUUUCUUACUCACAAUUUUAUAUUGUUUAUAUUUAUAUUUUUAUAUCUAUUUGCCAUCUCUUAGUGGUCUAGUAAUGGUUGUUAGUUGGGCUUCCCAUUUUGAACAUUGAGUCCUUCAUAUUUCAGAAAUAAAUAGGUUUUUGGGGUUACUUUCUAUCAUACAUUUCUGUUGCAUAUUGCUAGUGUAGAUUAACUCUUCUGAUUAGCCCUGAAUUCUACCUUUUCUUUAUAGGAGAUACUGAAUCGUUAUGGCAAAUUGAGAAGUUGAGAUCUGAGUUAAUGCAACAGCACACUCUUGUGAGUGCUUUUUCAUGUGCCAAGGGUCUAAUACUAGAACGUAAGCUUGAGGAUGCUGCUGCUGUCAUUCAAGUCCUUAAUCAGACUUUACCUGACGCCAAGAAGUCUGGAGUUAACGUUCAACUUCAGAAACUAGUCAGUGAGUGGCCUUUGGAUGUAGUUAAGCACAAGCCAGAGGAGAAUAAGAAGGCAGUAGCUGCUGCCUUGAAAUCAGACAUACCUGCCAUCGUCGGUCUAUUAAACAUGGGCUUAGAGUUGAAUGUCAAUUUGGAAGAUCUAACGAGUAAAGAAGAAAUUCCAUCCUGAAUUGUCAAAACAUGUGAGCAUGGCAUUCUCAAACUUCUGUAGUCGCUGUUGAAUGAAGGAGAAUCAGCCAUUUCAACAUUAUGACAAGCAAUUCAAUAAUUACCUGUCUACACAAGAUAUUGUUAGCAUCCUUUGAUCUGGCAAGAGAAGUAUAGAAUAGUGGAUUACUGUUCAUGAUUGCAAGUCAUUAGGGCCAAUCAGUUGUGCCCUGUUCAAUUUUUUGUCAAAAGUUGACAUUUUCAUUUUUUGAACUCGGGAAUAGACAUUGGAGGAACCAAAGAUGAUGUUUAGUUGUAUUCGGCAUCUAUGUUUCAACUCUCAAAAUAUUAAUUGUUCCUUCACUUUCACAUUGAAUUGUGGUUCUCUGUGGAUCCCAGUGUGGGGCAGCAGAGCAUCCUUCCGUCGUUUGUGCUAAUUAAAAUUUUUUUCGGCGCAUUUUUAUUAUAUCGCUGCCCAACCAUCCCGGAGUUGGUUCCAG